CCAUUCUUCGAUUUGAUUUCCAGAGACAAUAGAAAAGAACAGAGAUGAGCGAUGGAGAGAACUCGGUGAUAAAAAUCGAAGAGGCUAAAAAAAACUGAUACAAGAACAGAGUCGACAUCCAUAGAAAAAACAGAGGGACACGCUACGGAUUUGAGGACGAGGGAAUCUUAUGGAAGGACUGAUCGGAGACGAGAAAGAGAUCCAAGAUCCUCGGGAGAAAAGAUGGUAAAGGAGAAUGCAACUCAGACGAGUGAAUAUCCAGCUCGCACCGGUGUAGGAGAUAGUUACUAUUACCUAAAAAACGGUCGUUGUGGCUUUGGACUAAGUUGCAGAUUCAACCAUCCACCGUACAUCGAAAUCAGAUGAGAUAUGGCAUGGUGCAACCGAGUCCCUAUUCAGUUUCCCCACAUCUUCCUGAGAGUAGUCAGAUGAGACAUGAAAUGGUGCAACCGAGUCCCUAUCCAGGUGCAAGAGAUUGUAGACAAUAUCUACAAACUCGGCGGUGUAGCUAUUGACCUAAGUGCCGAUUCAACCAUCCUCAUGCACCGGUCUGAAGGUUGGUCAUUGCAAUAAGAGACCGUCGUAACACGUAUUCUUAGGUUCUGGGAAGCUACAAAUGUGAAAAGGGUGGAGAGCUCAUGGGUGUAGAUCGGGUUUCCUCGAUGAAAAGUUAUCAGUCGACGUUGGUUCAGAGGGUCAAUGAACUGAGCGUAUUUGAUGUCGUAAGAAGCAAUAGCCACGUCAAACUUUUGGCAUCACCAGGUUCUAUUCGCUUUGACGAACAGAUCAAGUUUGUCCAGCUUACUGAUACAACAGCCUUUAUCCCGACUUAGCAGUUUAGGUUCAGCUAAUGGAUUUAGCUAAUACAAACGUUGACUUGCUGGGUUUGUCAUACUUCUCAUGUUUUUAUUAAUCUUUAACUUUUUGGGUUGGAAAUUAUCGCCUCCCGAGUCACCAUUUGUUUAAAAUUAAUCAUGCAGAUGAGUAUCAGGCGUGUAAUAGUUACAAUCCAACUUCACGGGUACGGUAGCCAAAUUCUUUGGUUUCAAAGUUUUAAGUUUGUAUUUCUGGGUUAGUCAAUGGAGUUUAGCUAAUUAUAAACUGUUACAACUCUGCAUGGAUACGGUUGGUGUGAGAGUGAAUUUGAUUAUGCUGCAGAUCAGCUUCAUAAGAAAUUAGAACAGUUGCUAAUAUCAAGAGUCAUCACCCAGACUAGAGCUGAGAACAACUCAAACAACGUCUGGCCUCAAACACAGUGCAGCCUUUUGUUUGAGAUGAUGAACAAAAAGAAAAGAGAAGAGAAUUAACAGCGGACAACCCUUCCACAAAGAGUAAUUACACGACACGAGCAACAAUCCAUGAAUGUGUCAGCGGGACCUUCACGGUUUGCGAAGAUAGAGGGAGCUAUUGAACCACUUCUUCAGUAAACACAUACACAAACACUUUAGCUAAGAUUCUCUGUGUUCUCCAUGUUUUAUUGUUUCAAAGGCUAUGGAGCAAAAGGCGAUGGUUAAAAGAUAAAUAUAUUACAACCCAUUUAC
This is a long non-coding RNA of Raphanus sativus (radish), 1541 nucleotides long. RefSeq lists it as uncharacterized. The record is from RefSeq and is a predicted model, not a curated record. The transcript has 6 exons. NCBI's taxonomy places the organism in Eukaryota, Viridiplantae, Streptophyta, Magnoliopsida, Brassicales, Brassicaceae.